UGGGGAAUAUUGGACAAUGGGCGCAAGCCUGAUCCAGCCAUACCGCGUGGGUGAAGAAGGCCUUCGGGUUGUAAAGCCCUUUUGUUGGGAAAGAAAAGCAGUCGAUUAAUACUCGGUUGUUCUGACGGUACCCAAAGAAUAAGCACCGGCUAACUUCGUGCCAGCAGCCGCGGUAAUACGAAGGGUGCAAGCGUUACUCGGAAUUACUGGGCGUAAAGCGUGCGUAGGUGGUUGUUUAAGUCUGUUGUGAAAGCCCUGGGCUCAGCCUGGGAAUUGCAGUGGAUACUGGGCGACUAGAGUGUGGUAGAGGGUAGUGGAAUUCCCGGUGUAGCAGUGAAAUGCGUAGAGAUCGGGAGGAACAUCCAUGGCGAAGGCAGCUACCUGGACCAACACUGACACUGAGGCACGAAAGCGUGGGGAGCAAACAGGAUUAGAUACCCUGGUAGUCCACGCCCUAAACGAUGCGAACUGGAUGUUGGGUGCAAUUUGGCACGCAGUAUCGAAGCUAACGCGUUAAGUUCNCCGCCUGGGGAGUACGGUCGCAAGACUG
RNAcentral lists this ribosomal RNA (550 nucleotides) under uncultured bacterium. RNAcentral's name for it is "bacterial SSU rRNA". It matches the Rfam family "Bacterial small subunit ribosomal RNA", at positions 355 to 896 of the family's 1533-position model. The record is from RNAcentral.